This is a small nuclear RNA of Lepisosteus oculatus (spotted gar), 190 nucleotides long. Its record names the gene U2. It matches the Rfam family "U2 spliceosomal RNA". From Rfam's summary of the family: U2 is a small nuclear RNA (snRNA) component of the spliceosome (involved in pre-mRNA splicing). The record is from Ensembl. Lineage: Eukaryota; Metazoa; Chordata; Actinopteri; Semionotiformes; Lepisosteidae.
AUAUGUUAUAAGAACUGUUUUCUAAUAAAAAAAUAAAAAAUCUGUUCUUAUCAGUUUAAUAUCUGAUACGUCCCCCAUGGGACUACAUAUUAACCGGAUUUUUGGAACAGGGAGCUGGAUCAGGAGCUUGCUCCGUCCUCUCCACGCAUCGGCCUGGUAUUGCAGCGCCUCCGUGAACGGUGCACUACCU